This 504-nucleotide ribosomal RNA is filed under the name Nymphalis canace (blue admiral). Its description in RNAcentral is "Kaniska canace (blue admiral) partial 16S ribosomal RNA". The record is from RNAcentral. Lineage: Eukaryota; Metazoa; Arthropoda; Insecta; Lepidoptera; Nymphalidae.
AAUUUAAAGUCUAAUCUGGAAUCUGAUAAAUUUAUACCGGCCGGCUGGUAUAUUGACUGAACAAAGGUAGCAUAAUCGCCGGUCUUUUAAUUGAAAACUUGUAUGAAGGAUUUGAUGAAAUAUAAACUGUCUCUAAUUUAUUAGUAUAAAAUUUAAUUUUUUAGUAAAAAAGCUAAAAUAAUAUUAAAAGACGAGAAGACCCUAUAGAGUUUUAUAAUUAAAUUAAUUAAUAUUAUUUAUAUAUAAUUAAAAAAAAAUUAUUUUAAUUAUUUUAUUGGGGUGAUAAAAAAAUUAAAAAAACUUUUUUUAAAAAUAAACAUAGAUAAGUGAAAAAAUGAUCCAUUAAUAGUGAUUAUAAGAAAAAAUUACCUUAGGGAUAACAGCGUAAUAUUUUUUUUUAGUACAAAUAAAAAAAAAAGUUUGCGACCUCGAUGUUGGAUUAAAAUAAAAUUUAAAUGCAAAAGUUUAAAAUUUUGAUCUGUUCGAUCAUUAAAAUCUUACAUG